GGCUGGGUGUGGAAUGUGUACUUUUCCCUUUCUUCAGCUGUCACCCUUCCCCCACCCCGCCAAGGGUGCCCCUCUUACACCCUCAGCACACCCGUGGCUUGGAAACCCCCUGAAUGUAGAAUCGCUGAGGCGGCCGUUCAGAAAACGGGGAAAGUCCUCUGGGGAUAGGGAUGUAAGUCGGUUGCUUAAAUGCCUGCCCGACGCCCUGUGGUGAAAAACUGGGUUUGAUGCUCAACGCUCCAUGAAACCAGGCACAGUGUAAUCAGCGAGGAAUCCAGGAAGAGCAGCCGGAACUAUGAAGCAAGGAGCGACCUUCCCCUUCCACCAGCCCUGCCAGCCACGCCAGCAUUCACCGUCUCCCGGGAAGACCCAAAGAGCUGAGGCACAGCUCCCUGUCAUACCACCUGAACACCGCCUGGCUUAAGUCUCUUCUAGAGACUCCAGAGCAGUGGCUGUAAACAGAAAGGCUCCUGUCACCUCCGAGAGUUGGAGUAUAUUCCGAGGCCCCUGACUCUGUGCACCUAGAGGCAGAAACCUGCCAUCUAAGUGCUUAAUGCCGGACGCUUGCAGCAAGCAGUGAUGUAGGAGAGUGUGUUCAGACGAUCCCAGGAAGAAAUGUUACCUUAGAAUCCUUGCUAGCUGGGGGCUGAACCACACCCCUACCUCCAGCCUCCAUUUCGACACUGGCAAUAUGAAGAUUAUUGUACAGCCUUUACCUUUGGGAAAAAUUAAAUUGACUAUCAUCUGGUACAGUAAGAGUGUUCAAUACAAUGGAAGAAUCGUGCGAGAUCCUGACCAUCAGAGCCCCCCACACAGCUACCUCUUCAACCUGUACAGCCAUGACUUCGACAUUUGAUACAUUCAUGAGAAGUGCACCAGCCCCAAGGAGCAUCGGGAAGACGCUGACCUCACCAAGCCACAAAAAGAGCCCACUCCCCUCAGCCUCCCGCUCGUCUACCAUGGGAAGCAGAGGGUAUCAGAUAUGCUGCUUAAGCCAUUUAUCACUGGUUCAUGGCACCAACGGGGCCAAUCUAGGCAGCCUGGCCUGCAUUUCCCCCAAUUUUCCCUUUCCCUUGUUGUUUGCUGUUAUCUGAACGCCUGUCAUCUUCAGGAAGACACAAAUGCUACGCGAAUUCACAAUGCACUGCCAACGAAACCCUCCCAGCUGUUUGGAGGAUUUAUCUUCGUGCUAAGUAGAGAACAAAUGAAACCCAGGAAUGUCUUAAUUAACUCCAUAAGCAUCAGCUGGGGAUUUCUGCCCCCCACCCUUCCCCCUAUCUCGCCGUUAGUCAAUGAGGACAGGGAAUCAACCCAGAUAGUUUCUGCUAGGGUUUUCGACGAAGAUGGGGGCGCAGGGAAGGCGCUCCCAUUUGGAAGAAGACUGGCCCAGCUCACCCCCAAGAGCUGUCUGUCAUUGACUGUGACCAUCUGUAAGCUCCUAACCCUCUCUGUGAGGUCACUUGUAAAUUGGUAGCCAGAAGAAUAAAGACUAGGCUUUGCCAAGCCCUUGGUUUGUGCA
Molecule: long non-coding RNA, 1519 nt
Organism: Mesocricetus auratus (golden hamster)
Lineage: Eukaryota; Metazoa; Chordata; Mammalia; Rodentia; Cricetidae
Exons: 2
Source: RefSeq, a predicted model, not a curated record